This 253-nucleotide ribosomal RNA is filed under the name uncultured bacterium. Its description in RNAcentral is "partial 16S ribosomal RNA". It matches the Rfam family "Bacterial small subunit ribosomal RNA", at positions 524 to 776 of the family's 1533-position model. The record is from RNAcentral.
UACGUAGGGUGCAAGCGUUGUCCGGAAUUAUUGGGCGUAAAGAGCUCGUAGGCGGUCUGUCACGUCGGCUGUGAAAUCCCGAGGCUCAACCUCGGGUCUGCAGUCGAUACGGGCAAACUAGAGUAUUGCAGGGGAGACUGGAAUUCCUGGUGUAGCGGUGAAAUGCGCAGAUAUCAGGAGGAACACCGGUGGCGAAGGCGGGUCUCUGGGCAAUAACUGACGCUGAGGAGCGAAAGCGUGGGGAGCAAACGGG